Long non-coding RNA from Oryza sativa Japonica Group (Japanese rice), 1141 nucleotides. RefSeq lists it as uncharacterized. Lineage: Eukaryota; Viridiplantae; Streptophyta; Magnoliopsida; Poales; Poaceae. The record is from RefSeq and is a predicted model, not a curated record.
GUUCCGCUGGUUCCAACUUCGUGUUGCAUAUUCUUAGGCCCGAUCUUGAGGCAGGAACUGAGUAGUUGGUGAACUCGCUCUAUGUUGUUCAUUCACUCGCGACACGGUUCCUGUCCCAAGAUCGGGUCUGUGAAUAUACAAAUGUGAUUUUUUUUAAUACAUUCUUACACCCACUCUUUUUUUCAAGUUCCAGCAUCCGUUUGUGAAUAUGACCUACUACUGCAAAUUCAUAAACUCGGUGUUGCAUAUUCUUAGGCCCGGUCUUGUGGCAAGAACUGAGUAGUUCGUUAACUCGUUACCCGGUUCUUGUCACAAGACCGAGUAUAUGAAUAUGCAAAGUCGCACUCCGUCGACACCAUCUCCUCCUGCCUCAAGGCUGGCAUGUCGGUGGCCUGAUAUGAUUUCUUGUGGAGAGACGCCGAGUACCACCAGGAAACCCUUGAAAUCCUCAAGCUCGCCAUCAAGUCCACCAAGAAGCUCUGGGCCGUCAUGCUUGACACAGUCGGCCCAGAGUUGCAGGUGGUGAACAAGAGCAAAGCCUCCAUCUCCCUGUUAUUCUCACCCCUUACCAGGGGCAGGAGGCCUCCUCACAUGUACUGCCAAUUAACUUCGCUGGGCUUGCUAAGGCUGUGAAGCCAAGUGCCACAAUAUUUGUUGGGCAAUGCUUGUUCACAGGCAAUGAGACUACUUCAAUUUGGUUAAGACGUUUCAGAAAACAAAGCCGAAUUUACAUGUCUACACUGGUAUCUCCGAAGUGCCUCGUUUUCAACGUCAAGAAUCGUCAGAUGCUCACCAAUCUGAACGGCCAUAGCGUUAUGUUCCUUAGAGGACUACUCGUUAAGGUGUUCCUACAAGAACUACCUGUUAAGGUGUUUGUUAGCUUUAUGGUUCAGUAUUUGUGUCCAGUAUCCACCAUGCAGCUGUUUCAUGCAAAUCCUUUUGUAUAACAAAUAUUCUAUAGACUCUUAGCUUUCUAAUAUUGCUGCUCUUUCCAUCUAAUAGAUUUGUCAGUUUAUAGUCAUUCCUAUAUUACUUACGCUACUGUUCCAGCGUCAGCAUCCCACUGCAGAUUAAAAGGGUGCAUUGUGUUUCUUAUUUUACUCUGAUUUAUAUAUGUGCAUGUGGCGUGGGUUAGACUGAA